Triticum dicoccoides is the source of this 887-nucleotide RNA transcript. RefSeq lists it as uncharacterized. The record is from RefSeq and is a predicted model, not a curated record. Lineage: Eukaryota; Viridiplantae; Streptophyta; Magnoliopsida; Poales; Poaceae. The transcript is spliced from 5 exons.
AGUACGCCCGUGACAACCGGGGAGCCGUGAACGACGCACGCAAAUUUCUCCGCCUCUCGACCCGACCCGACCCGCUUUCCUCCGACGCCGUCUCCCUCUCCUGCGAUCUCCUCUACGACGAGCGACGCCACCUGCCUCAUCUCUCCUUGGCACCAGCAGCGACCCCGCCGCUCGCCUUCUCCGAGUCCUGAAUAGCUUGCUGCCGGUAGGGGCCAUUAAUCAGCUUCUGAGGAAACUAUUCAGAGCCAGUCUUCUUCUGUUCUACGGUUGUACUAGGGCGGAUCUCCUUCUCACAGGCGGAGAUUCCUGUUUGUCUGCGGCGCACUAUAGCUGGCGGUCCUCCAUAGCCAUGGAUCACAAAAGCCUGUGGGUGUCCUUUCUUCCACUAAAAACACAUAUCAAGGGCCUAGCCCCAGCCUCAGAUUCAGAUAAAGCAGAUAUAGUCGAUGAGGCGAUAACUUUCUUCCGAGCAAAUGUUUUCUUCAAAAACUAACAUGUCAAAAGCCCAGCAGACAAGUUGCUUAUCUAUCUGACAUCUUACAUCAAUAUUGCCUUGAAAAGACUAGAAAGCUGCCGGACACUGGCUGUUGGAACUAAGGCAAUCAUUAACCUGGGGUUGGAAAAUGUCCCUGUGCCCGGGGAACCAGGGUUUCCUUUCCCUGGACUUUUCACUCUUCCAUUUCGAGAUGACGUGGUAUAUUGUAGUAACUGGGUUAUGCGGUACUAAUGGACCAUUGCAAUCCUUUUAUCUCAUAUGCCAUUUUAUUAAGACUACCCACAGUGGGAGUAAUAUAAGUGGUAACAUCACACAUCUCUAGACAAAACAGAUGAUUUUUGUAUCUAAGCUAAACCUUGGUCAAUUAAGAUCAAUUAUUAAGGCUGCUACA